RNAcentral lists this long non-coding RNA (248 nucleotides) under Gossypium barbadense (sea-island cotton). Its description in RNAcentral is "long non-coding RNA (GBAR_LNC012281)". Lineage: Eukaryota; Viridiplantae; Streptophyta; Magnoliopsida; Malvales; Malvaceae. The record is from RNAcentral.
CCAUUUAUAAACUUAGUCAAAAUAAGUCAAAAGCUACCAAAGUGAGUGCUGGAUAGUGUGAUAGAACUCUUCCAAGCUUCCAAUCGAUCGAGCUUUCGAUGAUUUAUGAAACAGAAGAAAAAUAACUACGUAAGAAAUUCGUGCUUAGUAAGCUCGUAAAAGAGAAACUUAAACUUACCAUUUCCCCGCAUUUAAACAUUCAAUCAUGCUUAGUAGUUCAUACAAUUACUUGAUAUUCCUAUUCAACA